Small nucleolar RNA from Chinchilla lanigera (long-tailed chinchilla), 133 nucleotides. Its record names the gene SNORA71. It matches the Rfam family "Small nucleolar RNA SNORA71". Rfam says of the family: The members of this family belong to the H/ACA class of snoRNAs which bind a number of proteins (including dyskerin, Gar1p and Nop10p) to form snoRNP complexes. NCBI's taxonomy places the organism in Eukaryota, Metazoa, Chordata, Mammalia, Rodentia, Chinchillidae. The record is from Ensembl.
CCCUGCAUUUGAAAGUGAUUGUGGGUUGGCUGUGCCCCAGUCAUUGAUAGUGCAGUGAGAGAAACACUGAAAGACGUUUUCCCCGUGUUUGGAGGGUCCGCCUGUCCCUUCUAAACCCUGGAGCUUUCCCACA